ACAGAAACUUAAGUGAUUUAGAGUGUGACUUUCAUGAACAGAAAUAGUCUCCAUAAUCUAAUCUCCAGAAUGCACUAAACCAGGAGAAGAUCCACCUGGAAUGGAAGAAUAUUAAGGAGAACAAGUCCUCAUCUCUCCAAAGACCCUUCAUCCUUCAUUUCACAAUAGUCUUUAUUGGUCUGCUGGAGUUUGCUGGAGGUCCACUCCAGACCCUGUUUGCCUGGGUAUCACCGGCAGAGGCUGCAGAGCAGCAAAGAUUGCUGCCUGCUCCUUCCUCUGGAAGCUUCAUCCCAAAGGGGCACCCGCCUGAUGCCAGCCAGAGCUCUCCUGUACGAGAGAUGCCCUGCCCAGUGAGGAGGAAUCUAGAGAAGCAGUCUGGCCAUAGCUUUGCUGCACUGCGCACUUCUCCUUGCUGCCGCCAUGUGAAGAAGAAUGUGUUUGCUUCCCCUUCCGCCAUGAUUGUCAUGACAUUUUGAGCACAAUUGUGUGUGGGAUGCAUUCAUCAAUAGAGCUGGAAGCACCAACCACCAUAGGAGUAGAGACAGGGUUUCACCACAUUGGCUAGGCUGGUCUUGAACUCCUGACCUCAAGUGAUCCACCCCCAUCAGCAUCCCAAAGUGCUGGGAUUACAGAGGAAACUUUUAGUUACAAGCACAUGAAUAAAUAAAAUCAAACUCAACUGGAAUGACGUUCCUGAGGAUGGAGAUACAUUUUUUUGUUGACCCAUCUAAACUUGAACAGCAAGUGAUAAUCAGUCUCCAAUCAGAAAGUCCCAGGACUUAUAGGAGCAGAAAUCAGAAGACUUUACUCCACACACUUCAGGUGGACAUGUGGACAAAGCCAUCGGAGAACAUGACAAAAAUACAGCAAGAGCAGAGACAAGAUCAGAUCAUCCUGGGGGCAGAUGCUGGGCUCUGACCAAUUUGAGAGAGAAAAGGAAAAAGAACCCAGCUACAAGAUGCACAAGUAGCAGGCCACAGCCACCAACAUCAGCAGAGCAAUUGGAGGCCAGGAAGACAAGGACACUUCUGAAGAGACUGAAAAAAGCAGAAGACAGUCCAAGUCACUGCAAGGUUCCAAGGUCUCUUUUUUCAUUACUGUUACAAGUACCAAGUAAGCCAAAAUCCACCCUACUCUUCAAAACCAUCUUGAAGAGUUGCAGGUCAGGGUUGCUGCAUCUGAGCAUGUUUACUCACAAAAGGUGACAGAUGCUCCUCAACUUACAAUGAGAUUACAUCCUGAUAAAUGUGUCAUAAGUUGAAAGUAUCUUAUAAGUCGAAAAUGCAUUUACUACAGCCUAACCCACUGAACAUUGUAGCUUAGGCUAGCCUACCUUAAAACGUGAUCAGGACACUUCCCUCAGCCUACAUUUGGGCAAAAUCACCUAACACGAAGCCUAUUUUAUAAUAGAGCAUUGAAUAGCUCAAAUAAUUUAUUGAAUACUGUACAUUACAUAGAAUUUGUGACAGUUUUACACCAUCAUUAUGUCAAAAAAUCAUUAAGUUGAGCCACCAUAACUCAGGGACUGUCUGUAUUUAUAUUUUUACUUCACACUAAGCUUUGAAACUGAAAUUUUUGCUCCUCAGCAGAUGGGGUUUCUGAGAAAGACCAAAUUAGUUAUAGAGCACUAGCUCCCAAAAAAAAAAAAAAAAAAAAACAGAAGAAGUCAGAGGAGGAGGGCAACAUGGAGCAGAGGAAGAAGGAGAGAAAAAGCAAGAAACCAUUAUCGCUCCCUCAUCUGAACUGCACUGCGAGUAAGCUGGGGCUUCCACCACAGUGUCCUGGAAGCCAUGUUUGCUGCCCAUUUCUGGACUCUCCAGCCACACUGGCCUCCUUUCCCUUUCUCAAACCUGCUGUGGUUCCUGCCACUUCAAGAUAAUCUCUUAACAAUCUAUUCCUUCUGCCUGGAAUGCUCUUCCUCCCACCCAACCCCGCUCUGCCCAGCUAACUCCAUUCUUUGGCCCCUGCAUCACUUUCCCAAGGAAGCCAUUUCUGGACUUCCCUGACCCCUGCCUUCCAUCUUCACUGGCCCAGAGUUCCCUACCCUAUGGUCUCAUUGCUCCCUCCCAGGCACUGCUGCCUCCCAGGACUCUUCCCUGUCGGUAAUAUAGUUCUGUUUGAUUGUUCAGUUAAUUUUGCCUCCCCUGAAGACCAUAAGCCAUGUUGGCAAUGAUGGUUUUGCUCACCAUUGCACCUCCAGUGUCUAAAAACCAUGGGCAGGUCAAUUCAUUUUUGUUGAGUAAAGGAAUUGUUCAAUAAGUGCACAAAUAAAUUCACAUUAAAACUUGUCC
This 2291-nucleotide long non-coding RNA is filed under the name Homo sapiens (human). RNAcentral describes it as "PREDICTED lncRNA (TCONS_00021810)". The record is from RNAcentral. Lineage: Eukaryota; Metazoa; Chordata; Mammalia; Primates; Hominidae.